Cavia porcellus (domestic guinea pig) is the source of this 2898-nucleotide long non-coding RNA. NCBI's taxonomy places the organism in Eukaryota, Metazoa, Chordata, Mammalia, Rodentia, Caviidae. The record is from Ensembl.
AGGAUGUCUUAUAUCUUAAAGGAGUCCAGUAAAAGCCCCAAAACAAUGAAGAAGUUUCUUCAUAAAAGAAAGACUGAGAGAAAACCAUCAGAAGAGGAAUACGUGAUUAGGAAAAGUACGGCUGCUCUAGAGGAGGAUGCGCAGAUUCUUAAGGUGAUUGAAGCCUACUGUACCAGCGCCAAUUUCCAACAAGGUGCUCGGAAAGAUUCUGUUCCACAAGUCUUGCUCCCUGAGGAAGAGAAACUCAUCAUUGAAGAAACUAGAAGCAAUGGCCAGACCAUCAUUGAGGAAAAGAGCCUUGUUGAUACUGUGUAUGCCUUGAAGGAUGAGGUCAAAGAACUGAAGCAGGAGAACAAAAGAAUGAAGCAAUGCCUGGAGGAAGAAUUGAAGUCAAGAAGGGACCUGGAAAAGCUGGUCCGAAGGCUGUUGAAGCAGACAAACGAGUGCAUUCUGGCUGAAUCCAGUAGCAAGGCCUCGAUUCUUCCAUAACCACCACUGUGCAGCUGGGCGGAGCGUGCCUUCAGCGUAUCUUGAAAUGUCUGGCUGGAUGACUCGAUUCAGUUCUUACUUCUUUGGCUUUUGUUUUGUGUUUAAGUCUCUAUCUCUUUCUGUAUGUGUGUGUGUGUGUGUGUGUACACACACACAAAGUAUGUGUGUUUACUUGGGUACUUGUGGUUCUUUGGUUAUGAGUUAGUUGGUUGUUUUUGCAACAGGGGAAAAAGCAGAAGGUGGUCAUGGCCCCAGGGUCUUCUCCAUUCAGUAAGACGAGGAAAGCUAGCACAGGAGAUGACUUCAGUGCUCUUCAGAUGGCCUUCAUUUCACAGUGCCUCUGCGAUAGCUGUUGCCACUGACUCGUGCUUACUGCUCUGCCUGCUAUCUCACAGCAGCUAGCCAUGGCAGAUUAGAUACAGACCUGACUUUCGUGAACACUUCCCUGUAUGGCUUCCCUCAGUACUUAAUUUACUGAAUGUAACACUUCCUGAGUUUUGACCAUAGAAGGUGAAAGACUAACACAUGGCCCAGUGAUCUAGCUACCCUUUCCUAGUCUGAGACAUGCCACCCUCCAAUCAUGCUUUUUUUCUCACUGCCUUAUAUUGUCUGUAAGAUCAAGAAAACUGUAGUAGUUGUAUUCCUCCCAUGCUGGUGUACAUUUUAACUCAGUGGCACAGAAGUUGUGGUCACUCAUGCCAACAUCAAACCCACUGGCAAAUUGCAUUGGGCAAUCCUCCUUUCAGAGCAGAGUUGACCAGUUCUUCCCACUGCAUGAUAGGUCUUCUUCCUUAGCUUUCUGCCAUGUGUGUAAGUUUUCGAUUCCCCAGUGCUUUAAGCCAAGCAUACCAAGUGGUGUGUAAAAUGGUAUGUAUGUUUUGCUUACUUUUUAAAAAAUGUAGUUAGAAGGUGAGUAGUUAACUUUACAUUGCAUAUUCAAACUGUGACCUUUCAUCCUACAAGACAGCCUGCAUUGAGAAGGUAUUGUGCACCAUGAGAAGUUGUAAUAAUCUUUGGCCCCUUUUGAAUAGGACUCAAAGCAUUAUUUGCAGAAACAUGCUGUCGGUCCAGUUUGUAUAACCAGCAUCAAGGGGCUCCACUAGUAGCUGUGUUGGUUACUAAGCUAAUUACUUGGAAAUGCUUUAUGCAAGUUGCUUAUUGAAGCAAACCACAAGUGUAAAUAUCUCAGAAGUUCAAACUAAGAAAGCAGGUUUAGAAGAGAGUCACAGAACAGUGCAGAUCCAAAUUCAAAGUUGGCCCAAGACUCUGAGACUCUCCACUUCGCCUGAAGACAGAGGGCAUUUAUCUAGAUUGUGAAGAUCCUCGAGAGGCAAAAGGCCAAUAGGCUGGUGGAAGUCACCCUACAAAUACAUUUGAUAGGUGCCUAUAAAUGUUGGUUUUGCACAUGUUGUUAAGAAACCAGACUUGAAACCUGAGACCUCCAGGUUGCUGAGGAGCCCUUUUUCUUUCUGGUACAGAAGGCCUCAAGGUUCCCUAGAUGCAUGGUACAGGGCUGCUGUCUGUUUGGUGAACAGUAGAAGCAACAGCCUGCACAGACCACAGUGGACGCUUCCUGCAGUGCAGCCUCAGCCAAUCACACUCAGCCAUUCUUGGAAGCUCAAGAGUGAGGAUUUCUAGGAACGGCUGUUAUUCUGUUUUUAAGUACAGAAAUUUAGCUGUGACAUCUUGUAUGUAAAAAUUAAAAACACCAACAGUAAUCACCUAGAUGUUCACAUCUGCCCCCUCUGUGGUUAGUCAAUGGCUUACAAUAAAUGUGCAUACUAUAUCUAUAGGAAACACUUUUGUGAUUACAAAGUACUUUAGUUGAUCGCUUAAAAUACCGAAAGAUCUUUAUUUUAAAGUCAUGUGUACAUAUGCAUGUUUUUGGGACUUGGCCCUCCUGAUGAGAGGCCUUUGGUACUCUGAGUAACGAAGCUUGUGCAGAGUGCUGUCCGCGCUUACACACUAAACAAUAAUAUAAAGGAAAUGAAGCCAUGUUAAUCCGAGAGCAGUGUCUCAUAGUUGUGUUGUUUACAAUACUCUAUAAAUGGAUUCCUGUUACUCUGUAAUUAAUUUGCUGCCCUUAGAGGCCUUUCAGUUUCUUCUCUGUCAGAUCCCUUCUUACACAAGCCCAAAUUUUCUAACUUGUUUUUAUUUUAAAAACUUUUAAAAUUGACAUUUUCAAUAAAUAAGAAUAAACAGUGCUUUAUAAAAUAAGUCUUUGGUUUCCUUUUUGGCCAACUGGGGUGAAGAAAGAUUUCUCUUUAAUUUUUUAAAAGUUGUAUUUUAUAUUUAGUCGAUCCAUAAUUAUGGUGUAUAUUUAUGGGGCAUAGUGUGAUUAUGUCAGGCUAAUUGUAGUAUCCAUCACCUCAAAUAUUCACCUUAUAUUUGGGGUGAAAACAUCUGCUU